This 253-nucleotide ribosomal RNA is filed under the name uncultured bacterium. Its description in RNAcentral is "partial 16S ribosomal RNA". It matches the Rfam family "Bacterial small subunit ribosomal RNA", at positions 524 to 776 of the family's 1533-position model. The record is from RNAcentral.
GACGAACCGUGCGAACGUUGUUCGGAAUCACUGGGCUUAAAGGGCGCGUAGGCGGGCAUUCAAGUCAGGGGUGAAAUCCCCCAGCUUAACUGGGGAACUGCCUUUGAUACUGGACGUCUCGAGUAAGGUAGGGGCAUGCGGAACUGAUGGUGGAGCGGUGAAAUGUGUUGAUAUCAUCAGGAACUCCGGUGGCGAAGGCGGCAUGCUGGACCUUCACUGACGCUGAGGCGCGAAAGCUAGGGUAGCGAACGGG